UCCCAAUAUAAAAAGCCAGAAGUGGGGAUUGCAAUGUUUCUUCAAACUAUGUGCAGGUUGGGGAGUAGAGGAAGAAAGAGUGGUAAUUGGCUGAAUUGUAUUUCUGAGGCAUGAAGUUUGCCAAAGUUCAGUGUUUGAAAUAGAUUCUGGGCAGAAUUCUUGUGGAUACUCUGCCAGAACUGGACACGGAAUGUGCGGGAAGACUAACUGUCUUUGCCCUCUAGAUAAAGAAAACAUGAUACAACUCUUUCUUUACCUUUGAGGCUUUUACUUGACUGUAGGCAAUGAUGUAACCCUGAAUUACCAUUACAAACCUCUAUUUCCACAAAUGCAAUGAUAUGACUCAGCUAUAUGUUUGAUUCUCUUCUGUCAAAAUAUUUCAUUGAAUUUAUGUGGAUGUCACUCAUGGAGGACCUUUGGAUUCUCUUCUUGGAACUUAGUUGUUUUAUGGGCUCCAUCAAGUGCUGUAGUUUUGAAAUGCCCCAAGAGGAGAUAUGUGCUGAGAAGCCACAAUGAAGACCAUACCUAGUGAGAGAUUUUCCAAGGGAAAUACAGUGACCAAAGCCACUCUUGCUUAUGGGAGGAGUAGAGAGCCU
Molecule: long non-coding RNA, 596 nt
Organism: Sarcophilus harrisii (Tasmanian devil)
Lineage: Eukaryota; Metazoa; Chordata; Mammalia; Dasyuromorphia; Dasyuridae
Exons: 3
Source: RefSeq, a predicted model, not a curated record